This 500-nucleotide ribosomal RNA is filed under the name uncultured bacterium. Its description in RNAcentral is "partial 16S ribosomal RNA". It matches the Rfam family "Bacterial small subunit ribosomal RNA", at positions 28 to 507 of the family's 1533-position model. The record is from RNAcentral.
GACGAACGCUGGCGGCAUGCCUAAUACAUGCAAGUCGAGCGAACAUUUAUAGAUUCUUGCUUCUUUAAAUGUUAGCGUCGGAUGUGUGAGUAACACGUGGGCAACCUGCCCUUCAGUUGUGUAUUACUCCGGGAAACCGUGGCUAAUACCUGAUAAUCAGUUUGUCCGCUUUUACAAACUCUAUUAGACGUCUUCUUCUUUCACUGCAGGAUUGGCCCGCGGGGCAUUAGCUAGUUGGUGGGCUAACGGCCUACCAAGGCAACGAUGCGUAGCCGACCUGAGAGGGUGAGCGGCCACACGGGAAGUGAGACACGGACAAGAGGCCUACGGGAGGAAGCAGUAGGGAAUAUUAGACAAUGGACGGAAGUAUGAUGGAGGAAAGCCGCGUGAGAGAAGAAGGUGUGCGGAUCGUAAAGAUAUGUUGUGAGGGAAGAAAAAGUACGGGAGGAAAUGAACGUAGAAUGACGGUAACGGAUUAGAAAGCAACGGCUAACUACGUG